CACGUAGGGCGCAAGCGUUUGUCCGGAAUUAUUGGGCGUAAAGAGCUCGUAGGUGGUUUGUUACGUCUGCUGUGAAAACCUAGGGCUUAACCCUGGGCUUGCAGUGGAUACGGGCAGACUAGAGGUAGGUAGGGGAGAAUGGAAUUCCUGGUGUAGCGGUGAAAUGCGCAGAUAUCAGGAGGAACACCGGUGGCGAAGGCGGUUCUCUGGGCCGAUACUGACGCUGAGGAGCGAAAGCGUGGGGGAGCGAACAGG
RNAcentral lists this ribosomal RNA (255 nucleotides) under uncultured bacterium. RNAcentral describes it as "partial 16S ribosomal RNA". It matches the Rfam family "Bacterial small subunit ribosomal RNA", at positions 524 to 776 of the family's 1533-position model. The record is from RNAcentral.